UUGCCUUGAGUUCUGUUUUAAAACACCUCUUUUGUUGUGUUUGGGGAUUUUUGGCAGGAUUUUGGCCUGAGCCUCAUUUAGGUUAGGAAUGAGUGGGGCCAGAAGACAGGGGGUGAGAGUAAGAACGGAUUGUGGCAACUUCCCUUUCCCCCUCCCUCCAAUAGAUGGACCAGGACUGUGCCUUUGCCGUAUGUGAAGGAGAAUGCCUCCAAUCAGGUGGUGGUUGUAUGUCCUUUGUCCCUCCUGCCACUGAGAAACCAGCCAGUCGCCUCCACUUCCAGGCUUACGGCCCACUUCCCUUUCUUUCCAUCCCAAACAUGAACUGCUAUUGUGCCCUGAGCAAUCUUCUGCAGCCUGUAAGAGCCUCCCUGCGCCCUCAUUUGUCCCCCUUACCCCCUGCCCACAUUUGCCCUCUUCAACCUCCCUCCCAAGGCUGCAGCUUGGGAACAGCAGUCUUUUCCAUCCCUCUGCCCACCCAAUGCCUUGAAUCAUCUCUGGGCAGUGGGGAAGAUGUGAGCAGGCUGCCCGGGCCAUUGUGCUUUCCAAGAACUGGGUCACUAAGACCCAGGGACCCUGGACUCCUUCCUCUUUCUGGGUUUACUGCUUCUGCCUGCGCUGUAGUCCCGGUUCGUGCUAUUGCGCCACCUCGCCCUGCCCCCUUUUGCCUUCUUCCGCCACAUUUCGACUGCCAGCAGCUGAGUGCCACAUUCAGGAGUGGGGAAGAAGAAACUCUCUUUAGUGGCCAUGAGGUUGCCAGCCUCAUUAUAAGGCAAGGCCAGACUGAUACUGCCGCAGCUUUUGGGUUCUGACUCCUGUGUGAAAGCUCCUUGUUUGUGAUUUUCAGCUGGGGAGUGGGGGUCUUCUGUUUCUCUCCGUAGGAGAGGAAGCUUCUCCUGUUCCCUAGAACUGAAGCUGUGUCCUGGGUGGUACGUGGCAGCCCUGCAUAGGGCAAGGGACACUUUCCUUCCCACAGGCAGCCAAAAGGGUCUGCCCUCUGGUAUAGUCAGGUGCUGUAAUAACACCCGGCUCUUCUAGCUGAGGUUCCCAAAGCUGAUUGGACUCCAGCUCCCAUCAUCAGCAAUGGGUGAGGAUGGUGGGUGUUGUAGUCCAACGCUCUCCGGGCACCCAAGGCCUGAAGGCGGCUGCUCCAAGGCCAGACCAACAUGUUUCAGAUGAAAUGCCCAUCAGGAGGCAGGUGGUCCUGGAAGGAUCUCCCCCAAGACCAUGGUUUUCUCUUGAUUUCUAGCUGCUCUCAAGUCAAAAAGGGGAGGCCGAGCAACUCUGGGCAGCUUCUGCCCAGCCGCCUUUGUGUCAUUUGUGGCUUAGUUUUGCUAGCUCUAGCAGAGGUCUUGAGGUUCCACUUCCUCUUUCCAGCAGCGCUCCGUUUUGCUGCAGUGUCUCAGCAAGCGGUGGGCUCGGCCCCUUCUCUCUCUCUCUCUCUCCUCCCCCAUAUCUCUGCCUACAUAUGCAGAGCGUUGCAUCACUUCUCGGUGAAUGUCACAGGUUGCUUUCUCAAUCUGCCCUGCUAGCGGCAAUGGGGCCGGGGGGUAAUGGCAGCGUGUGGCAUUCUGCACCCCAGAAAGCAGCGAGGGGCGAAGCUCAGCUGCAAGGUGGGAAAGGAAGUUACAAGUAGUCCUGGAUGAGUACUGGCUGUGUCAGUUUAGGAGGAGGUUGGGCUUUGCAUCGUACCGAGAGGUUGGCUUUUGGAUCUGGGUGAGGACUGAGUGAGAGCAGGUUGGUGGGGGGCGAGGUGGAGGUUUCGUGGAGGGUGCCGGUGUCUGGAGGUGGCAGCAUGGCACACCGCAGCUGGUGGGUAGAUUUUGCCCACAUCUGAUUUUUUUUUUUUUGCAGUCUCAGCACCCACUUUUCCUGUGGAUCAGCAAUGUGCCCUCUCAUUGGAGCUACUAUUUAAAUACAAAUAUAUAUAUAUAUAAUACCAUAUGUGUCUUCAACGAAAGGAGGAAAUCCAGUCCAUCUUAUGUACAUACCUUUGAUUUCUUCCACAUGCAAACCCCGUCUGAAGGAAUUGGUUGUUCUUCCCUUCCACGAGGCUGGGUGUUUCGUUUCGUAGCUACGGUGUGGUUUUCCUGUGAUCUGUUUUAAUCUGUGUCUGUGACCGAGUUCCGUCUCUCUGCCUUCCAUGUGUCUGUUGUAUUAUGUAGGUCUCUCUGGCCCUGAUCAGAUUAAAAGCUAUGGAUUUCUGUGUG
Long non-coding RNA from Lacerta agilis (Sand lizard), 2207 nucleotides. RefSeq lists it as uncharacterized. The transcript has 2 exons. Lineage: Eukaryota; Metazoa; Chordata; Lepidosauria; Squamata; Lacertidae. The record is from RefSeq and is a predicted model, not a curated record.